This 497-nucleotide ribosomal RNA is filed under the name uncultured bacterium. Its description in RNAcentral is "partial 16S ribosomal RNA". It matches the Rfam family "Bacterial small subunit ribosomal RNA", at positions 28 to 507 of the family's 1533-position model. The record is from RNAcentral.
GAUGAACGCUGGCGGCGUGCCUAAUACAUGCAAGUCGAGCGAACGGACGAGAAGCUUGCUUUUCUGAUGUUAGCGGCGGACGGGUGAGUAACACGUGGAUAACCUACCUAUAAGACUGGGAUAACUUCGGGAAACCGGAGCUAAUACCGGAUAAUAUUUUGAACCGCAGGGUUCAAAAGUGAAAGACGGUCUUGCUGUCACUUAUAGAUGGAUCCGCGCUGCAUUAGCUAGUUGGUAAGGUAACGGCUUACCAAGGCAACGAUGCAUAGCCGACCUGAGAGGGUGAUCGGCCACACUGGAACUGAGACACGGUCCAGACUCCUACGGGAGGCAGCAGUAGGGAAUCUUCCACAAUGGGCGAAAGCCUGACGGAGCAACGCCGCGUGAGUGAUGAAGGUCUUCGGAUCGUAAAACUCUGUUAUUAGGGAAGAACAUAUGUGUAAGUAACUGUGCACAUCUUGACGGUACCUAAUCAGAAAGCCCCGGCUAACUACGUG